CUUCCUGGGUUUCUUUGGCCAGCACGGCGGUGAAUGGAUGAGUGAGGGUGGCAAAGAGGAAUACACUGGGAUGGAAAAUCUACAGAGAUACUGCGAGAUUUCUGCUUUAUGGGAACCCCCGUUGGUUUGACUGCACCCAUUAAACUGAAUGAAGCUCAACACGAUCAGAGAUGGUGCAGACUGGCGGUGUGUGGAAGUGAUCCAGUUUAUCACUUCCCUCCAUUUUUGCCUCAUAUGGUCCUCCAGCUAAGGUGCAUCUAGUGUAGUUAGUGAAGUAUUCAAAGUCUACUGCCCUAGUUGCCCCUUCUGUCUGGAGGGCUUGUUUUUCAGUUCACUUCAAUUUUGUGUAGCGCCCAAUCAUCAAGACGACUUAAGGAGCUUUAUAUUGUAAGAUAAUGAUGCCCCCCAAAUGAACGAACACAUGGCGACAGUAGUAAGGAAAAACUCUUAACAAGAGGAAACCUCCAGCAGAACCAGGCUCAUGUCUGAAAUGAGUUUUGGUUUGGCCUUAUAUGAAAGGUACUU
Long non-coding RNA from Oreochromis niloticus (Nile tilapia), 525 nucleotides. RefSeq lists it as uncharacterized. The record is from RefSeq and is a predicted model, not a curated record. Lineage: Eukaryota; Metazoa; Chordata; Actinopteri; Cichliformes; Cichlidae. The transcript is spliced from 3 exons.